UUUUUUUUUUUUUUUUUUUUAUCAGUAAUCUUGGUCUUCCUUUGAAUAUUAGAAAAUUAUUGAUUUGAAUCUUUCUUUAAAGAAAGGCUGGCAUUACAAGUGCAAUGAUGCAAUUCUGAUUAACCCAUUAAACAUAAAUUUAUUUUUUUUUUUUUAAAGAUUGUGACAUUAUUGUUUUUGUCUGCUUAUAGACAUUGUCGGGAAGGGGAUGGGCUCAUAGCAGGUUCUCUUUUUGGGUGGAAACUCCCAGCAGCAGCUAACGAAAUGGAGCAGGAAAGUCAAAUGGGUAAGCAGGUUUGUCUGGUUUUUGCCGUUAAUGGACAGAGGUUCCAGCUAUCUAAUGUUGAUCCUUCUAUGACUUUGCUUGAGUUCUUGCGAACCCAGACCCCUUUCAAGAGCGUCAAGCUUGGUUGUGGUGAAGGUGGUUGCGGUGCUUGUACUGUUCUGGUCUCCAAGUACGAUCCCUUGCUUGACCAAGUUGAGGAUUUUACAGCAAGUUCAUGUCUUACACUGGUUUGCAGCAUAAAUCAAUGUUCAAUUACAACAUCUGAAGGCCUGGGUAAUAGCAAAGUUGGUUUCCAUCCAAUUCAUAAAAGGUUCUCUGGAUUCCAUGCUUCUCAAUGUGGCUUUUGUACUCCUGGAAUGUGCAUGUCCUUAUUCGGGGCCCUUGUUAAUGCUGAAAAGGCUGCUCGACCCGAACCUUCUUCAGGAUAUUCCAAGCUGACAGUCAUUGAAGCUGAAAAGGCUAUUGCAGGAAAUCUUUGUCGCUGUACUGGAUAUCGACCCAUUGCUGAUGCAUGCAAAAGUUUUGCAUCUGAUGUCGAUAUGGAGGAUUUGGGAUUUAAUUCUUUCUGGAAAAAGGGGGAGAGACAGGAAGCAAAUAUAAGUGCGUUACCUUUGUACAAUCAUAAUCAUGAGAUUUGCACUUUCCCUGCAUUUUUGAAAAGGGAAGUCAAAGCUUCUAUGCUUAUAGAUUCUAAAAGAUGUUCUUGGCACCAACCUUCUAGUUUUUUGGAGCUUCAAAGCUUAUUAAAAUGCUAUGAUGCCAACAAUGGAGUCCGGAUGAAACUGGUGGUUGGUAACACUGGCAUGGGCUAUUAUAAGGAAUUAGAACCCUAUGACAGAUACAUCGAUCUCAGGUAUAUUCCUGAACUGUCAACGAUUAGGAGAGAUCAAAAUGGUAUUGAAACUGGGGCAGCUGUCACUAUUUCUAAAGUUAUUGAAGCUUUGAGAGAAGAAAUUAAAGAUGAAUUUAUCUCAGCAAGUAAGCUGGUGUUCGAAAAAAUUGCAGACCAUAUGGAUAAAGUUGCUUCCAAAUUUAUAAGAAAUACAGGCAGUAUUGGGGGAAAUUUGGUGAUGGCACAAGGAAAACAUUUCCCUUCAGAUAUUGCCACAAUACUUCUUGCGGCCGGUUCAUUUGUUCAUAUAAUAACUGGUUCCCUUCAUGAAAAGCUUACCUUGGAGGAGUUUUUAGAAAGGCCUCCCUUGGAUUCCAAAAGUGUACUCAUAAGUGUUAGAAUCCCAAAUUGUGGAUCCAUUAAGGAUGUAUAUCCUGAAGGAGAUAGUAAGCUGUUUUUUGAAACCUACCGAGCUGCACCGCGGCCCCUUGGAAACGCUUUGCCUUAUCUGAAUGCUGCUUUCUUGGCUGAAGUUUCCUGCUCAAAAUCAUCUAGUGGAAUUAUGAUGAAUAGCUGUCAGUUGGCAUUUGGUGCUUUUGGAACUAAACAUGCUAUUAGAGCUAGGAAAGUUGAGGAAUUUUUAACAGGAAAUUGGUUAACCAAUGCUGUUCUCUGUGAAGCUAUUAAAUUAGUUAAAGCUGCUGUGGUACCUGAGGAUGGAACUUCAAAUCCUGCAUAUAGGUCAAGCAUGGCUGUUGGUUUUCUUUUUGAUUUUCUCAGCCAGUUAGCAGGUAGCAGUUCUUAUGGUUGGCUAAAAGGAAUCAAGGGAUAUAAUGGUAUUUCAAUGUUGGAGGAUUUCAAAUCAGAGAAGUAUGGCAAUCUGGAUCAUGUUAAAUACCCCACUAUGCUGUCAUCAUCCAAACAGGAGAUCCAAUUAAACAAAAAGAAUUGUCCCAUUGGCGAGCCAAUUACCAAAUCUGGAUCUGCCCUUCAAGCUUCAGGUGAGGCUGUUUAUGUGGAUGACAUUCCAUCCCCCGGAAAUUGUCUGUAUGGAGCAUUCAUUUAUAGCACAAAGCCUUUUGCUAGGGUAAAGGGUAUAGAAUUUAAUUCUAAAUCACUCCCAGAUGGAGUAACUGCACUUAUUUCUUUCAAGGAU
RNAcentral lists this unclassified non-coding RNA (2274 nucleotides) under Hevea brasiliensis (rubber tree). The record is from RNAcentral. Lineage: Eukaryota; Viridiplantae; Streptophyta; Magnoliopsida; Malpighiales; Euphorbiaceae.